UUUUUUUUGGUCAAAUUGGUAAAUAGGAAUCGUGAGUCGUGAGGGGCCGGACCCUCUUAUAUAUGGUGAUGUCUGAUGUAUCUUCUCGUUAAGAUCGGCAAAAAAAGCUCUCCAGCACCCUCAAUCAUCUAUCUCUUCCUCUUCUCACAUCUCUCUCGUUUCUCUCCGUCAACAAAACAGACCCAUCUGCAUUCACACUUGUUCUCCACAAAGUGUGUUCAAAACCCCUUUAAGGGCUGUAUCUUUUCAACCUCAUGGAUCUAGCAGUCUGCCUUUUGGAAUGAAUGCUAGAGAAGAUGCAGAUGUACUUCUUCCAGAGCAUAUCUCACAUUGAGCUCAUAUAGAGAUUACACGCUUUAUAUAGAAUGGAAAACAGGCAAAAUAUGAGUGCUAGCCGAGGAAAAGAUAGUGUUUCUAUGAAGUCUGUUGAUCAAAGAGAACGCAUGAUGACCCGUCGCUUAAAAAAUCGGGAACGACAACGUAGAUACAGGGCUAGGAAGCGUCUUCAAGCAGAUAUGGAAAGAGGCUCCAUCUUGAACCAAGCAUCUCCAGUGCCAGUAGAAUUGCAGUUAAAUGAGGUUUGUUGCACCACUCGGGUCUAUUGUAAACGAAAUUGGAAGAAAGAUGCCAGGGUCUGUGCUUCUCAGGAGCAACUCAAAUCUGCUGAACCUGUCACCCCCACUGUGCCCUUGGUUAAUGAAAGUGAAGCACCCAGUUUACUUCCUGAAAUGAAGGCAAAACAACUGCUAGAAAAUGAAAUGCAGUCUGAAAAUUCUCGUAGCUUGGACAGUCGUGAAGCAAAUGGAACUGUGCAUCGGCGAAGAGAUUGGAAAGCAGAUGCAAGAAAUAAGAAGAACUAGAAUGGCAGUUUCAUGGUUCCUUUUGUGGAGUAGGAUGAACAUUUUACAGAUACCAAAUUUAGUGGCUGAUGAAACAUGAAGUGUUGGAAUGUGAAUAUCUUCAAAGAAGUUGUAAUGGCUAAAGGACUCAUAAUUGUGUGAUGGUAGAAGGGCUUCAAAUAAUAUAUCCAUCAGUUGACAAUUUGGUUAUCUGUCAUACUAAAAGACGAUGCAGAACAGCCCUGGGGAAACCUGCUUUAAGUUGGAAAAUUCCGGGUGAGUAGGAUAUGUCAUUGGUAUAGAACUAUUACAGAUGAGAAUGCUAGGGUGAUUAAAUUUUAACCCCUGUAUGUGAGAAGCAACAUACAUUUGCUGUGCGGCUUAUGUCAGGCAGCACAUGUUUGUUUCUGAAUUCUGAAUUCUGAAUUCUGAAUAUAACAUCUGAAUUUUCUAUUGGCAAGUCCAUUUAGAUAAUUACAAGACUAUGUAAUUCAUAAAA
Molecule: long non-coding RNA, 1338 nt
Organism: Vitis vinifera (wine grape)
Lineage: Eukaryota; Viridiplantae; Streptophyta; Magnoliopsida; Vitales; Vitaceae
Exons: 4
Source: RefSeq, a predicted model, not a curated record